GAUCCUGGCUCAGGACGAGCGCUGGCGGCGCGCCUAACACGUACAAGUCGAACGGAGCUAUGUUGAAAGCUUGCUGGAUAUAUAGCUUAGUGGCGGACGGGUGAGUAACACGUGAGCAACCUGCCUUUCAGAGUGGAAUAACGUUUGGAAACGAACGCUAAUACCGCAUAAUGUCAGAGGAUGGCAUCAUUCUUUGACCAAAGAUUUAUCGCUGAAAGAUGGGCUCGCGGCCGA
This 234-nucleotide ribosomal RNA is filed under the name uncultured bacterium. RNAcentral describes it as "partial 16S ribosomal RNA". It matches the Rfam family "Bacterial small subunit ribosomal RNA", at positions 15 to 240 of the family's 1533-position model. The record is from RNAcentral.